Molecule: ribosomal RNA, 254 nt
Filed under: uncultured bacterium
Lineage: Bacteria
Description: partial 16S ribosomal RNA
Rfam family: Bacterial small subunit ribosomal RNA
Source: RNAcentral
GAUUACCUGGCUCAGGAUGAACGCUAGCGGCAGGCUUAACACAUGCAAGUCGAGGGGCAGCACGAGGUAGCAAUACUUUGGUGGCGACCGGCGCACGGGUGCGUAACGCGUAUGCAACCUACCUUUAACAGGGGCAUAACACUGAGAAAUUGGUACUAAUUCCCCAUAACAUUCGAGAAGGCAUCUUCUUGGGUUAAAAACUCCGGUGGUUAAAGAUGGGCAUGCGUUGUAUUAGCUAGUUGGUGAGGUAACGG